This 465-nucleotide ribosomal RNA is filed under the name uncultured bacterium. RNAcentral's name for it is "partial 16S ribosomal RNA". It matches the Rfam family "Bacterial small subunit ribosomal RNA", at positions 28 to 507 of the family's 1533-position model. The record is from RNAcentral.
GACGAACGCUGGCGGCGUGCUUAACACAUGCAAGUCGAACGGAAAGGCCCCUUUGGGGGUACUCGAGUGGCGAACGGGUGAGUAACACGUGAGUAACCUGCCCUUGACUUCGGGAUAACUUCAGGAAACUGGGGCUAAUACCGGAUAGGAAUCCUUGCUGCAUGGUGGGGGUUGGUAAGCUCCGGCGGUUUUGGAUGGACUCGCGGCGUAUCAGCUUGUUGGUGGGGUAGUGGCUUACCAAGGCUUUGACGGGUAGCCGGCCUGAGAGGGCGACCGGCCACAUUGGGACUGAGAGACGGCCCAGACUCCUACGGGAGGCAGCAGUGGGGAAUAUUGCACAAUGGGCGGAAGCCUGAUGCAGCAACGCCGCGUGCGGGAUGACGGCCUUCGGGUUGUAAACCGCUUUCAGCAGGGGAGAAGCUUGUGGUGACGGUACCUGCAGAAGAAGCACCGGCUAACUACGUG